CAUGAAGUCUAAGUAAAUCAAACUUAAGUUUUGUGAGGAAUGCCAGUAUUCAAAGAUGGUUUAUGACUACAGGAAAGCAAACAGCUCGCUUGGCGACUUUAUGUUUCAGGAUUUUUCUGCACUUAAAUAAUUUGCCAGCUUGCAAACAUCCAGAUCUAGUAUUACCUUUGAUAAUGUUAGAAAAAGUGAUACGUUAAGCAUAACCUGCUGCUGUAUGACACAUGCUAAAAAGAUUGACUAGCUCUGUCUUUCUUGUACUUAUGUGUGUUCGGAUCCCUGUAUGAUAUUUAAUAUUUAUAUUUUUUUUGUAUGUGUGUACACUUCAGAAUGACAAAGCCAAAAAUUCAGGCCUUGCCCAAGCUGCCAAGUCCGUCAGCAGGCCAACCGCAAAACAUGCAGUGCUUGUUUUGCCACACUGCCAAGCAAGCGGUUAUUAAAAACUGCAAAAAUUAAUGAUGACUGGGGCCAGAGGGUCGUCAAAAACAAAAAUGCAUCUCGGGUGGUGGCCUCUGCCCAAAUAGCUGUCCAAAAACUUUCUGCCUUGGGCUAUAUGCCCAUAUUAUUUAUCAGCCAGAGGCACAAGGGCACAGGCAAGUUGAUGGCAGAUGUAGUCACGCAUCUGCCACCGACGCAAAACAACACACGUUUCUUAACCAGCAUGAAGAGGGCAUAUGACUUCAUAAUCAAACUGGAUGGCUCAGCAGCAUGUGGAGCCUCUACCACCCAGGAAAAGACAAACCCCACUAUCCACCCCGGGCCUACCAUCCACCCCAGGCCAAGGCAAAGCGAGCCCCACCAUCCAUCCAACCUCAACUAAAGAAAAA
Cyprinus carpio carpio is the source of this 824-nucleotide long non-coding RNA. The record is from Ensembl. Lineage: Eukaryota; Metazoa; Chordata; Actinopteri; Cypriniformes; Cyprinidae.